Molecule: non-coding RNA, 19 nt
Filed under: Mus musculus (house mouse)
Lineage: Eukaryota; Metazoa; Chordata; Mammalia; Rodentia; Muridae
Source: RNAcentral
UGGCACAUGCGCAGAUUAU